AACGCACCUUGCACUUUUCAGGUAUUCCUGAAAAGUAUGCCUGGUUGAGUGUCUGUGUAUCUCUCUCCCAACGCACUAUUGUCUGUGCUGGAAGGACAGAUGGAGUGUCUCGCUAUGAUUGAUUGAUUAUAUUGUCAUCAUUAUUAGCGUACUCUUGCAACACAGCAAGCUCCCCUACCAGUGUUGGAACAUGUGUCUGACCCCGGAGGUUUUAUUUUGGCGUCGUAGCUAACUGAUUUCUAGUUUGCCUAGCGCCUAUUCAAACUUAAAACCACUCAAUCCGCAGUCCGUGUCUUCCUAUACAAAAGCACUCGAGGGGCGAAGCUUGAAACAACCCAAAAACAACAAGCAAAGACAGACAAUCAUAUGUCGUCUCUGCUGAACAUUUGGACCUCAACUCAGGUAGGACUACCCGCUGGACUUAA
RNAcentral lists this unclassified non-coding RNA (425 nucleotides) under uncultured fungus. Its description in RNAcentral is "partial contains 5.8S ribosomal RNA, internal transcribed spacer 2, and large subunit ribosomal RNA". The record is from RNAcentral. Lineage: Eukaryota; Fungi.